This 508-nucleotide ribosomal RNA is filed under the name Treponema sp. oral taxon 237. RNAcentral describes it as "bacterial SSU rRNA". It matches the Rfam family "Bacterial small subunit ribosomal RNA", at positions 380 to 885 of the family's 1533-position model. The record is from RNAcentral. Lineage: Bacteria; Pseudomonadati; Spirochaetota; Spirochaetia; Treponematales; Treponemataceae.
AGUCUGACGGAGCGACGCCGCGUGGAUGAAGAAGGCUGAAAAUGUAAAAUCCUUUUGUUGAUGAAGAAUAAGGGGAAGAGGGAAUGCUUCUCUGAUGACGGUAAUCAGCGAAUAAGCCCCGGCUAAUUACGUGCCAGCAGCCGCGGUAACACGUAAGGGGCGAGCGUUGUUCGGAAUUAUUGGGCGUAAAGGGCAUGUAGGCGGUUAUGUAAGCCUGAUGUGAAAUCCUGGGGCUUAACCCUAGAAUAGCAUUGGGUACUGUGUAACUUGAAUUACGGAAGGGAAACUGGAAUUCCAAGUGUAGGGGUGGAAUCUGUAGAUAUUUGGAAGAACACCGGUGGCGAAGGCGGGUUUCUGGCCGAUAAUUGACGCUGAGAUGCGAAAGUGUGGGGAUCGAACAGGAUUAGAUACCCUGGUAGUCCACACCGUAAACGAUGUACACUACGUGUUGGGGCAAGAGCUUCAGUGCCAAAGCAAACGCGAUAAGUGUACCGCCUGGGGAGUAUGC